Molecule: non-coding RNA, 7507 nt
Organism: Coturnix japonica (Japanese quail)
Lineage: Eukaryota; Metazoa; Chordata; Aves; Galliformes; Phasianidae
Source: RefSeq, a predicted model, not a curated record
AUAGGAAAAAUGAACCUGAACUGCUGUCAGAGGCUAGGAGGACAGUGUGGCCAGUGCACCUAUUGUGUCACUGCUGCAGAAAGCAGCUUAGCGAUUGGCCACUGUCUGCAGCACAUAAUACUGACUGGUUAUAAAGGACUUGUCUAGAGGAAAGCCUGUAGGUACUCCAUUGUCUGGCAAAGUUGAUAUGACUGCAUUCUUUUUGCAGGGGGUCAGACAGCUGAACUGUAAAAGCUGCACAGAUUUUUUUUCCUCUCUCUCCAUCUCUUUCUCUCUCUCUCUCUCUCUCUCUCUCUCUCUCUCUCUCUCUUCCAUACAGCAUUUUUCUUUCAUGCCCUGUCUCAGUUUGCAUAGUUAAAGAGAAUGCUAAUUAAGAUCCCUUGUCUUAACCUGAAAAUAAUGCCUCGGAUGUAAAUAGAAAACUGGCGAUAGUUUAAAAUAUUUUUCCGUAGCACCGAGAUAUCAGUAACCGUUCUGGGGGGAAAAAAAAAUGAAGAAUUUUUUUUUGUAAUCAAGACGGAUCUAACAACGCAGUCUGGGCUCCGUGCCAAAGGCUGGUAUUUCACAGCAGCGACCGCCUUACAGAUGAGCUGUGGGAAGCAGGAGGGAGACUCUCUUAGGGUGCCACUACUAUGGAGACACAGCUGGGCUGAACAAGAUUUGCUUCAAACGACAACAAGAGAGACAGAAAGUGUCUGGUUCGACUGCUGCCCAAGCAGGCAGUAACCAGAAGAGCUAGCAGCCAAUCCGGCCAUGCUGCACUGUUCGAAACCAGCUCUACAUCCCAGCCAAUCAGUGACAUCACUGACCUGGAAAGUAACAUUUGCUGUAGAUGUCUGCUUCUGUCUGGUGUGAUGCUCCAUUCUUCUGGCUAUGUCACAUGCAGCACUGAGUAAUAUUGGUAAAUAGAAGAGGUCUCUUAGAAUAAGGUGUCCACCUGCUGUUUGCAGCGGGAUGAUUUGUAUUGCUUCACUAACUGCUGAGCAAGAGAAGCCAAUUUUGGGAGCAUGUUCACUGUGAUACCUUCAGUGAUUUCUGUUUCAAUACAUUCUCUUCAGGGCUAUGACUGUAACUGAUUAGCAAACAAACAAACAAAAAAAAAAUUACAAAAGAAAAAGGAAACUGAAGAAGUUAAUUGUACCAGAACAGAAUCCAGUGAAGGUGGAGAGGAGCUCUGCAGAGAAGGACCUGGGUGUCCUGGUGGAUGAGGCUGACCACGAACUAAGCAGUGCGUCCUUGUGGCCAAGAAGGCCAAUGGUAUCCUGUAGUGCAUUAAAAAGGAUGUGGUGAGAAGGUCAAGGGAGGUCCUCCUUCCCUUCUACUCUAUCCUGGUGAGGCCACAUCUGAGGUAUGAGCAAGACAUAAUGGAUUUCAUUUUCAGUAUGGAUCCACAAAGUCAAAACAUUAGUGAGUAAUUUUAUUUGUGAAAGCAAGUAUUUCUUUGUUUAUCGUGGUACAGCGCAAGUUCCUUCAAACAAGUGUUCUGCUUGUUUCUACUGAUGCUCUUGGUCCCCAUACAGAACAGAUCUAUCUUGGCCCUGGAAACAGACUUUGUGGGCUUUUCACAAGUACUAGAAGAAGCUGGCUCUAAUAUUUGAGAAAUGAUCCCCUCUACAGAUUCAACCCAAUCUUCAUAGAGAUAUUCCUGUAAUUGAAGGCUCUGAAAAGUUCCUGUCUCUCUGGAUAGACUGAGAACAACUCUGUCCACUUGUCCUUCUUUGCUCUCUCUUCCUCCUUCAGCCUAUAGGAUCUGGAAGCAGGUGACAAAGAAGGAGAGUCUUGGAGUAACAUGGCUCAUGUCAAGAUAAAGGAAUUUUCAUUAAUUUAAGUGCCAUUCAUUAGGAAACCUAGCCCUUUAUUUACAUGGCAUAACAUUUUUUUUUUUCCCCUUGGUCUUUAUGUCUCUGAACUCUUAUAAACUUCAUAUAUACACACAGUGUGUAUUGUCAUGAGGCCAGAUUAUUCUAUUUACUUUUUAUCUUAUUACAUUGCUUUUACUUUUUUCCCCAGUAAAGAUGCAUUUGAAGCUUCUGUAAUCAAUGUGAAAUUGCUUUCUAUUAACUGAAACAAUAUGUAUAUGUACUAGAUAUAAUGGGAACACAAUACAUUGUUGCAGUCAUGGACAAAGAAUAAGCAACACACAACAGAAGUGGUUAGUGCCUGUGGUAUCAAUUCAGUUUGCAUUUAUCCUAAAUGUGUUGAGAACACUUAAGCCAAAAGUCAGUUUGAAUGGCAAAAGAGAAUAAGACUGAUCAAAAGAUUUAGGUGAGGGAGAAAAGACUGGCAAAAGAUAGAGGAAAAUAAAGGGGAAACAUGAAAAAAGGAUGUAUUGUGAGGAAAAAGGAGGGCGAAUUUGGAAGAAAGGAGAUGAUAGACGGUUUGUUACAAAUAGUGGCAGAGAGAUGCUACUGAACUGAAACUCACUGAUGCCUUUUUUCCCAUGAACACUCUCUUGAAAUGAGACAAGUUUCACAUCCCUGUUCUGUACUUUCAUAGUUUUGCAAGCACUUUUCUUGAUGUGAAGGUUUAAGAGCUCUUUAUAGGUACCAGUGCUUACUUCAACCAAUCAGAAAGUCAAAAAGUUUUCCUCUUAUUGUAUUUUUGGGAGAUGUUAUUCUGGAAUAUGUUGUAAUCUAACUGUAUCUUUGAGAUUCCAAUGAAUAUCCUCUCUCUUGCAUUAUUUAUAAUAACAAUUGUUAAUUAUUUAAGUGCAUAGUUACUGAAGUCAAAACAAUUAAUCUAUAUAUUUGUAAGAUAGCAAGGAGAGCUUAUGCCAUUACAUAAAUCCCAAAUCUAAUUUUGCAUUCAUUGUUGUAUUAAAAAAAAAAAAAAAUUAAAAAUAAAUAUAUAUUUUUUAAUAGCAGGACUAGACACACCAGCAUUCUAGAAUUUAAUCUAUUAAUAGGUAUCCUGCUUGGUGUUACAGCAUUUACUAAUUUGUGUGCAAGGUAUACAUACUAAUAAACAAUUUGCCCUAUAGCUGUGGUUGAAAUACAUCAGCCUUGUGAAAGUCAUACCUCUUUAAGAGUGUUACUGGCUUUGCUCAGAAUGGCAUAAUAAUAAGUUAUGGUACUAAUUUGUAACCUCACCUCUGUGAGCAACAUUCAGGCAAGAUCUAUCCAGGCAGUUUAUUAGAUGGUGUAUCUUGUUAUGUAUACUUGGGGUGGUGGGACUUUUUAUUCUGUAUUGUAGAGCAACAAUCCCAUUACGAUGUGUCAUGGGAAUUUGGUUUGUGCAGGGCUUGGAGAACCAGCCAACAUAUGCAUGCAAAAUGCUCAGAAAUUCUCUACCCAUUGCUAAGGAAUACUUCUGUACUUUGGAACUGACCAUGUGGAGACAAAAGCUGUGUGAGUCCUGCUGGAAAGGUUGCCUUUAUGCAUCUUAGCCAGCUUUUGGGAUUGUUUAAACCCAGAACUAGAAGUGUAAAUGUAAUGGAUAGAUUAUCUAUUACCUGAAAGUUUCCUGUAGAAAUUCAGUCUAGAUGAAAUAAAUGUUAAUUCAGUAUUAGCACUGAGGUUUUAUGAAUGAACAAUUGUAGAUAAUUAUGUCUUUAAAUUUUUCAAAGUUUUUUAAGUCUGUGUGUCAGGAAUAAUUGUGAUAAAUAGGAAUAAGUUAGGCUUUUUCAUUUCCUUGAGAAUGUUGCUUCUUUGGCUUAUCAAAAUAUUCCAAGGAUGACUCUUAGCCUGCUUCCACCAGAUUAAAACCUGUUUGUAGAUGCAGUAUGUCAGAAUACACUGGGUCUGAAGUCUCUUUCUGGCUCUAUGCUUAACACUUGAGGAAAAGAAGGAAUUGUUUCUGAAAUAAGAUAUAUUUUCUUGAGAUUUGUAUUUGAAGCUACUCUAGAAGCUUUUAGAAUUUGAGUAAAAUGCUUUAGUCUGUAGAGUCUAAAUUAAGCAAUAAAUUCAAUAUUAUGUUAUUAGGCAUUAAUCAUGCUGGCUGAGGGUUGUUUUUAUUUUUCCAGAACUGCUAAGACAACCCGGAUAUACAGUGCCUAUAAAAUCUAAUGGGAGCUACAUACAUGCAACUCCUGCACAGUUUUGAGAGUCUCUGCUGUAGUGACUUUAUGACUCUAUUCCAAAGCAAUUUUGGAAUCCUUUUGCCUCUUUCAAUUUCAAAAUUUAAAAAUAUGUGAGUUCUGAAGUGCUCCACCUUUAAUAACAGUAAAGGAGCAAGGGGACAGCAAACAGGGUCAUGACAUGGAUUAAGAAUACUUUUGAUAGAUUAGGUUUAUGUUAACAGUUUGGUUCUCUUUGGAAUGGAGAUUUGAGAAAUUUGCUUAUUUUGUUAUUUUUUGGUUGGUGUUUUUUUUUUUUGUUUGUUUGUUUUUGUUUUUUGUUUUUUGUUUUUUUUGAAUAAGUCACUCUUUCUGCAACUUUCAUUUGCUCUGCUUUCUUCAUGUCAUCAUUUCCUUGCCCUCAGGAAAGACUGCCUGACUUGUUUGUGUAAACCUGAUGACAGGACUUGGACAAACUGGAAGAAUGCCUAUGCAUAGAGGAAGAGUCUCAUUCACUCAAGACUCAGUGAUUUAAAGAGGAGCCAAAAGGCUCGUGAAGAUUAGUUCCCUCUAGCCAUGUUUGCUGUGGUGGGACUUCAGCUCAUGGAAGGUUUUAUUGCCUGGCUGCUCCUGGAGGUCCACGGAAAAAGGACAAGGCCACCAUUUCCCAGGAGCUUGGAUGAGGCUGCCACCACACUCAGACUAAACCAUGGGGUCACAGGAGUGGGAUGCCAAGAGACAUUUUAUAAUGACAGGAGAUGCCAUCAUGUGAGUCUGAAGCUCCAGCCAUCAGAAGUUCCUUCCAAGGCUUUUGUCAGUCACUGGGAGUCUUAGGAGGCAUGAAAAGUACUGACUAGAUUUCUAACCUAACAACUUCUCAGAAGAAAAUGUUCCAUUUCUAGUUUUGGACUCCACGGAAACUAGGAAAUGAAGUUGUGGCUUGGAUUCAGUAAUUAUUUAUGGCAUUUGGGCAUGUAAAACCCUGGUGAGCCAUAAACAAAAUGAAAGAAAGGACAAUUGUAAACAAGGUCUUUCAGUGAUAAGUGGAGGUAUAACAAUACAACAACUACAGCAACUUCAAUCAUUUUCCUAUAUUUAGUACCUCAAAAUUCAAGUUGACAGGCAUGCCUCACCUAAAUUCUGAUAUUUGUCAUCUCCUGAUUUACAAGUGCUUGGUUUUGCAAAACAAAUAAAAUUCUUGCCGUUACUUAAUGGUGCUGAAGAUAUUUCUUCUUUUACCUUGCAUUAUCUUUUUCUUUUUCUGUGGCUACUUGUAUCUGUAACCAGUCAUGUCUUUAAAUCCUUCCAUAGAUAAACUGUCUACAAUUUUCUCAAACUUCUAUUUCAAGUCACACUGUUUUUUCCCCUUUCUUUCUGUAUCAUCAGUGUACAAUCUCCAGAGUACCAAGCAACUCACAGAGCGUCUUGACAACCUGCAUCACAUUGAACUCAGUGUCUGAGAGUCAGUAUUCUUUGCAUCUGCUAAUAGCUUUGAGCAAGUCAGUUUAUUUUUCAGUGUUUCACUUUCUUCCCUUCAUUUCUAGUAAUGCAGAUAGAGCUAUUCUCUUUUCUGAGCAAAAUGUAAUCUGGUAGAUAGCAAAUUGGGUUGGUAGCAGGAAAAGGGGAGAGCUUUCAUCAUCAGAAUAACAUGGACCUAAAGAUUUUAUAAAUUAAAGGCCAAUUAUUCCCUGGGGUGCAUGGAGGGCUUUCCACAGCAAUCAGUCUUGUGAAUCUGAAAGCAGAAUAGAGCCUUAACUGUCUGUAUUUGGACUUUGUCAGGCCAUUUGUUUGUGACCAGAAUUGUAUUGUUGCUCUGGUUUUCAAUAAAGGGAUGUUCGCUGAGGCAUCACAUUGAUAUUUUUGAAGUACGUUCCAUGUUUUCAAAGAAUCAAAUUUAUCAACAAUGAAUUGAAAUGUCUAGCUGUUUCUGUAUGCUGUAGAGAUUUCACAUUGUACUGCUGUGCAUGUGCAUUCAUUUUUCACCUGCUGGAUGUAAUGGGAAUGAGUUCAAUACAUGAAUGAAAGCAUGUUAACAGGAAAGUGACUUGACCAAACCAUGCUUCUUCCAGAUAAAAACACCCUGCAAAACAAAAGCUGAAGUCACAAGCUUGUUUUCAUUAAUCAUAAAUCAGAGAUAAACCCAAAAUAGUAUAGUAGGAGGCAAUGUUGGCAGUAGACCUGUGGGAUUUUAACAAGCUCAGCUCCCAUUCUUUGAUUUACCUGUGUCUAGGUUAACCACUAUCUGAAAGAGUUUUGUGGGAAAGUCUCAUCUUAUUGUCUUAAAUAGAAAAGCUGACUAUUUGUGGAAAAUCUUUUCAGGCUUUCAUUUCCAAGUCCUGUACAAGGCAGACCUUUUAUCUGAGGCAUUAAAAAUCCCUCAAUAGGUGUAUAAAUUAUGGCCUAUAGUAAGGACUUUGGGACAUUCCACUGAGUUAUGUUCACAAAAUUUGAGUUAGGCUGCUUUUCCAGCUGAUGCAUAUGGCUCACAAUCCUGAGAGCUGAAAAGCUUCUUGAAAGAUGAAGAGGCCAACCAGGCUGAUUCUUUGGAUGCUGAACCUCCAGAGUUGCCUGCUAAUAGGGCACACAGAGCCAUAACUGAAAGUGCCUGGUUACUAUGAGACACAUCUACACUUCUGAGACCUAUGGACCUCUGUCUACAACAAGGUUGACAGGACUGGUAUUUUUUUCUGCAGUAUUUCACAGCAAAAAGAGCAAGGCUAGAGAUGAAAGUCUGAAAAAUCUCUUAAAGGAGUAAUUUAAGUCUAGGAUGAAGUCUUGAAGUCCCUAGUACAGAUGAAACAUCCAACUAUAUACUAGGGAUGGGUCAGAAGAAGAAAAGAGGAAGAGAAAGGAAAGGAAACCACAUCCAAGGAAGGUAAUUCUGUUUGGAAAAAAUGUCUCAUACAGUUUGGCACUGAACUCUUACCAUGCUGUUGCCAACUUGCAAGUUCAUAUGAGGUUUAUAGCAAGUUACAGGAAGAAUAAAAUGUUAAUCAUGUGCAGAACCUUAGUGUUGUAUUCUUGCCAUCUAUUUCAACAAUAAUAGCAUACAGACUAAGAAGUGAUUACAGAAUGACAUAAGCUUCUUUUCCACUUGAAUUUGAAAAUGUAUUUCCAUUUAAAGUUUAAUUUUUAUGUGUUUCAUCCAAAAUUAAGAAAACAAGAGGAUGCGAUUUCCAAGCACUAUAUAUAGGCAGGAUCUGGCAUCAAAUUUUUCUAAAAGUUAUUAGCUGUGUUAAAAGUAGUGACUUUUAACAUAGUACAUAAAAACUUACUAAUCAGCAUUUUAUGGUGGCUGAAAACCACAAAGGACAAGUUGAAAAGUGGGGGAAAUCAGUGAUAAGGGUAGUUACUCAACAAAAUACUUAACUGCAUGUCAAAGCUUGUAUCUUCUUAACAUAUUACAAAACCUCCUAUUAAAGACUGGCAUUUAAAGUGUAGGAGAUCUAUUGAAAUGGGGUCUGAGCCUGGAUAUAGAACAAAAGAAUAAAGAGUAUUUAAUUCUCAUUUUAA